UACAGAGGGUGCAAGCGUUAAUCGGAACUACUGGGCGUAAAGCGUGCGUAGACGGUUAUGUAAGUUAGGUGUGAAAGCCCCGGGCUCAACCUGGGAAUUGCAUUUAAGACUGCAUAGCUAGGGUGCGGAAGAGGGAAGCGGAAUUUCCGGUGUAGCGGUGAAAUGCGUAGAUAUCGGAAGGAACAUCAGUGGCGAAAGCGGCUUCCUGGUCCAGCACCGACGUUCAGGCACGAAAGCGUGGGGAGCAAACAGG
This 253-nucleotide ribosomal RNA is filed under the name uncultured bacterium. RNAcentral's name for it is "partial 16S ribosomal RNA". It matches the Rfam family "Bacterial small subunit ribosomal RNA", at positions 524 to 776 of the family's 1533-position model. The record is from RNAcentral.